GACGAACGCUGGCGGCGUGCCUAAUACAUGCAAGUCGAGCGCAGGAAAUCAUCUGAACCCUUCGGGGGGACGUUGAUGGAAUGAGCGGCGGACGGGUGAGUAACACGUAAAGAACCUGCCCUCAGGUCUGGGAUAACCACGAGAAAUCGGGGCUAAUACCGGAUGGGUCAUCGGACCGCAUGGUCCGAGGAUGAAAGGCGCUUCGGCGUCGCCGGGGGAUGGCUUUGCGGUGCAUUAGCUAGUUGGUGGGGUAAUGGCCCACCAAGGCGACGAUGCAUAGCCGACCUGAGAGGGUGAUCGGCCACACUGGGACUGAGACACGGCCCAGACUCCUACGGGAGGCAGCAGUAGGGAAUCUUCCACAAUGGACGAAAGUCUGAUGGAGCAACGCCGCGUGAACGAUGAAGGCCUUCGGGUCGUAAAGUUCUGUUGUAAGGGAAGAACAAGUGCCGCAGGCAAUGGCGGCACCUUGACGGUACCUUGCGAGAAAGCCACGGCUAACUACGUGCCAGCCGCCGCAGUAA
This 524-nucleotide ribosomal RNA is filed under the name uncultured bacterium. RNAcentral describes it as "partial 16S ribosomal RNA". It matches the Rfam family "Bacterial small subunit ribosomal RNA", at positions 28 to 523 of the family's 1533-position model. The record is from RNAcentral.